This 2128-nucleotide ribosomal RNA is filed under the name human gut metagenome. Its description in RNAcentral is "bacterial LSU rRNA". It matches the Rfam family "Bacterial large subunit ribosomal RNA", at positions 531 to 2642 of the family's 2925-position model. The record is from RNAcentral.
GAGGGGAGUGAAACAGUACCUGAAACCGUGCGCCCACGAGCAGUCGGAGCACCCUUGUGGUGUGACGGCGUGCCUUUUGUAGAAUGAGCCAGCGAGUCGCUGGCGCGGGGCGAGGUUAACCGAAAGGGAGCCGGAGCGAAAGCGAGCCUUAACAGGGCGACUUGAGUCCCGCGCCGCGGACGCGAAGCCGGGUGAGCUAUCCGUGGGCAGGCUGAAGCGGGGGUAAGACCCCGUGGAGGGCCGAACGCACGUCGGUUGAAAACGGCGGCGAUGACCUGCGGAUAGGGGUGAAAGGCCAAUCAAACCCGGAGAUAUCUCGUUCUCCCCGAAAUAGCUUUAGGGCUAGCGUCGCGCGUUCACCGCCGGAGGUAGAGCACCGGAUGGACGAGGGGGCUUCGCCGCCUACCGAAUCCAACCGAACUCCGAAUGCCGGCGGCCCAGAGCGCGGCAGUCAGAGCAUGUGGGCUAAGCUGUGUGCUCGAGAGGGAAACAGCCCGGACCGCCCGCUAAGGUCCCCAAGUUCCAGCCGAGUGGCAAAGGAUGUGCGUCCGCCCAGACAACCAGGAUGUUGGCUUAGAAGCAGCCAUCCAUUCAAAGAGUGCGUAACAGCUCACUGGUCGAGUGGACAUGCGCCGACAAUACACGGGGCUAAGCUGGACACCGAAGCGGCGGGAUUUUAUCUAUAUAGAAUCGGUAGGGGAGCUUCCCAUGGGCGGUGAAGCCGCCGGGCGACCGGCGGUGGAGCGCAUGGGAGUGAGAAUGCUGGCAUGAGUAGCGAGAGACGAGAGAGUAACUCGUCCGCCGUGAACCCGAGGUUUCCUGGGCAAGGCUAAUCCUCCCAGGGUCAGUCGGGGGCUAAGGCGAGGCCGGGAGGCGUAGCCGACGCGCAGCAGGCAGACAUUCCUGCACCGCGCACGCGGCGCUACGACCGACGGGGCGACGGAUGGGGGUGGCUCGGCGGGGUUCUGGACGUCCCCGUGAUGGAGCGCGGCCCGCGGACCAGGGAAAUCCGGUCCGCACGAGGGCGAGGCUCCGGACGAAGCGAUCAAGCGAAGCGAGUGAGCCCGAGGUCCCUAGAAAAACCCCUAGGCAGGCGCGUGCGCGCCCGUACCGCAAACCGACACAGGUGGGUGGGUAGAACAUACCGAGGCGAUCGGGUCAACCAUGGUCAAGGAACUCGGCACAAUGGCCCCGUAACUUCGGGAGAAGGGGUGCCCGCGCGUACGUGAACCGGCUUGCCCGGGGAGCGGAGGCGGGCCGCAGUGGAGAGGCCCAAGCGACUGUUUACCAAAAACACAGGACUCUGCAGAAGCCGCAAGGCGACGUAUAGGGUCUGACGCCUGCCCGGUGCCGGAAGGUCACGCGGAGGAGUUAGCGCAUCGCGCGAAGCCCCGAAGCCAAGCCCCGGUAAACGGCGGCCGUAACUAUAACGGUCCUAAGGUAGCGAAAUUCCUUGUCGGGUAAGUUCCGACCUGCACGAAAGGCGCAACGACUUGGGCGCUGUCUCGACCAUGGACCCGGUGAAAUUGCACUGGUCGUGAAGAUGCGACUUACCCGCGGAAGGACGGAAAGACCCCGUGAACCUUCACUGCAGCUUGGCAUUGGCCGCUGGUCCCGCGUGUAGAGGAUAGGCAGGAGGCACAGAUCCGGAGGCGCCAGCCCCCGGGGAGCCGCCCUUGGAAUACUGCCCUCGCGCGACCGGCGUCCUAACCCGAGGCCGUCAACCGGCUCGGGGACCGUGCCAGGCGGGCAGUUUGACUGGGGCGGUCGCCUCCUAAAGGGUAACGGAGGCGCGCGAAGGUCCGCUCGGGACGGUCGGCAACCGUCCUUUUGAAUGCAAGAGUACAAGCGGGCUUGACUGCGAGGCCCACAAGCCGAGCAGGUGCGAAAGCAGGCUCUAGUGAUCCGGCGGCCCCGAGUGGGUGGGCCGUCGCUCAACGGAUAAAAGGUACUCCGGGGAUAACAGGCUGAUCUUGCCCAAGAGUCCACAUCGACGGCAAGGUUUGGCACCUCGAUGUCGGCUCAUCGCAUCCUGGGGCUGGAGCAGGUCCCAAGGGUACGGCUGUUCGCCGUUUAAAGCGGUACGCGAGCUGGGUUCAGAACGUCGUGAGACAGUUCGGUCCCUAUC